This 202-nucleotide microRNA precursor is filed under the name Oryza sativa Indica Group (long-grained rice). RNAcentral describes it as "MIR812 microRNA precursor family". The record is from Rfam by way of RNAcentral. Lineage: Eukaryota; Viridiplantae; Streptophyta; Magnoliopsida; Poales; Poaceae.
CUCCAGGGAUUUUGAGUUUUUGCUUGUAACGUUUGACUACUCGUCUUAUUCAAUUUUUUUAAAAAAUAUUAUUUAUUUUAUUUGUGACUUACUUUAUUAUCCACAGUACUUUAAGCGCAACUUUUCAUUUUUGAUAUUUGCAAAAAAAAUUUGAAUAAGACGAGUGGUCAACGUUACAAGCAAAAACUUAAAAGCCCUCAUA